Ruditapes philippinarum (Manila clam) is the source of this 503-nucleotide long non-coding RNA. RefSeq lists it as uncharacterized. Lineage: Eukaryota; Metazoa; Mollusca; Bivalvia; Venerida; Veneridae. The transcript is spliced from 3 exons. The record is from RefSeq and is a predicted model, not a curated record.
AGAUUCAAAGCAGCCAUGUGCCCCCAGUUGUCAUACUUAUGGAAAGAUAACAUUUAAAGCUGUAAACGGCACAAUCAGAGAUAUUAAACAAGACUGUAUUUUAUAUCUCUGGGAAAGCACAGCAUUUCGUAAUGCCAAAAAAAGGCCAGAUCAGCAUGUUCUUUUGAAAGAAAUUGAUGAGACUGAUAGAUGGGAAUUGUUUGAAAAAGUGUUCCCUCAAGGAAGAUUUACCAAUGAAACAGUCCGUACUUUUGAAUGCAGAAAGCUUGAUUACAAAGAUGUAAUACAUGCUCCUUAUGAAGACAACCCAAGUGGAAAACAGGAGGCUGUGGUUAAUGGGUUCAAGUUAGCUAUUACAUUGAAGAAAAAAUCUGUUGGUCUCUAUUUUGAUGAUGCCAGUAAGACCCCUUUUCAUCAUAUAAUAAUAAAUUACGCUGAAAAGUAAAUUGUUUAGCAAAAGCUCAUCUGUAAGUCAGUAGACCACUUUUUCUUAAAGAAAGAAA